RNAcentral lists this ribosomal RNA (1446 nucleotides) under uncultured organism. RNAcentral describes it as "SSU rRNA". It matches the Rfam family "Bacterial small subunit ribosomal RNA". The record is from RNAcentral.
ACGCUAGCUACAGGCUUAACACAUGCAAGUCGAGGGGCAGCAUGGUCUUAGCUUGCUAAGGCCGAUGGCGACCGGCGCACGGGUGAGUAACACGUAUCCAACCUGCCGUCUACUCUUGGACAGCCUUCUGAAAGGAAGAUUAAUACAAGAUGGCAUCAUGAGUCCGCAUGUUCACAUGAUUAAAGGUAUUCCGGUAGACGAUGGGGAUGCGUUCCAUUAGAUAGUAGGCGGGGUAACGGCCCACCUAGUCUUCGAUGGAUAGGGGUUCUGAGAGGAAGGUCCCCCACAUUGGAACUGAGACACGGUCCAAACUCCUACGGGAGGCAGCAGUGAGGAAUAUUGGUCAAUGGGCGAGAGCCUGAACCAGCCAAGUAGCGUGAAGGAUGACUGCCCUAUGGGUUGUAAACUUCUUUUAUAAAGGAAUAAAGUCGGGUAUGGAUACCCGUUUGCAUGUAUUUUAUGAAUAAGGAUCGGCUAACUCCGUGCCAGCAGCCGCGGUAAUACGGAGGAUCCGAGCGUUAUCCGGAUUUAUUGGGUUUAAAGGGAGCGUAGAUGGAUGUUUAAGUCAGUUGUGAAAGUUUGCGGCUCAACCGUAAAAUUGCAGUUGAUACUGGAUAUCUUGAGUGCAGUUGAGGCAGGCGGAAUUCGUGGUGUAGCGGUGAAAUGCUUAGAUAUCACGAAGAACUCCGAUUGCGAAGGCAGCCUGCUAAGCUGCAACUGACAUUGAGGCUCGAAAGUGUGGGUAUCAAACAGGAUUAGAUACCCUGGUAGUCCACACGGUAAACGAUGAAUACUCGCUGUUUGCGAUAUACUGCAAGCGGCCAAGCGAAAGCGUUAAGUAUUCCACCUGGGGAGUACGCCGGCAACGGUGAAACUCAAAGGAAUUGACGGGGGCCCGCACAAGCGGAGGAACAUGUGGUUUAAUUCGAUGAUACGCGAGGAACCUUACCCGGGCUUAAAUUGCAGAUGAAUUACGGUGAAAGCCGUAAGCCGCAAGGCAUCUGUGAAGGUGCUGCAUGGUUGUCGUCAGCUCGUGCCGUGAGGUGUCGGCUUAAGUGCCAUAACGAGCGCAACCCUUGUUGUCAGUUACUAACAGGUUCCGCUGAGGACUCUGACAAGACUGCCAUCGUAAGAUGUGAGGAAGGUGGGGAUGACGUCAAAUCAGCACGGCCCUUACGUCCGGGGCUACACACGUGUUACAAUGGGGGGUACAGAGGGCCGCUACCACGCGAGUGGAUGCCAAUCCCAAAAACCUCUCUCAGUUCGGACUGGAGUCUGCAACCCGACUCCACGAAGCUGGAUUCGCUAGUAAUCGCGCAUCAGCCACGGCGCGGUGAAUACGUUCCCGGGCCUUGUACACACCGCCCGUCAAGCCAUGGGAGCCGGGGGUACCUGAAGUGCGUAACCGCGAGGAGCGCCCUAGGGUAAAACUGGUGACUGGGGCUA